RNAcentral lists this unclassified non-coding RNA (1564 nucleotides) under Inacoccus terrestris KPABG LID-610023. RNAcentral's name for it is "bacterial SSU rRNA". The stretch from base 1 to 1126 matches the Rfam family "Bacterial small subunit ribosomal RNA", at positions 392 to 1533 of the family's 1533-position model. Lineage: Bacteria; Bacillati; Cyanobacteriota; Cyanophyceae; Chroococcales; Chroococcaceae. The record is from RNAcentral.
ACAUACCGCGUGAGGGAGGAGGCUCUUGGGUUGUAAACCUCUUUUUUCAGGGAAGAAAAAAAUGACGGUACCUGAAGAAUCAGCAUCGGCUAACUCCGUGCCAGCAGCCGCGGUAAUACGGAGGAUGCAAGCGUUAUCCGGAAUUAUUGGGCGUAAAGCGUCCGCAGGUGGCUUUUCAAGUCUGUUGUCAAAGACAGUAGCUUAACUACUGGCAGGCGAUGGAAACUGUGAAGCUAGAGACCGGUAGGGGUAAAGGGAAUUCCCAGUGUAGCGGUGAAAUGCGUAGAGAUUGGGAAGAACACCAGUGGCGAAAGCGCUUUACUGGACCGGAACUGACACUAAGGGACGAAAGCUAGGGGAGCGAAAGGGAUUAGAUACCCCUGUAGUCCUAGCUGUAAACGAUGGAUACUAGGUGUAGCUCGUAUCGACCCGAGCUGUGCCGAAGCUAACGCGUUAAGUAUCCCGCCUGGGGAGUACGCACGCAAGUGUGAAACUCAAAGGAAUUGACGGGGGCCCGCACAAGCGGUGGAGUAUGUGGUUUAAUUCGAUGCAACGCGAAGAACCUUACCAAGACUUGACAUGUCGCGAAUUCUGGUGAAAGCUGGAAGUGCCUUAGGGAGCGCGAACACAGGUGGUGCAUGGCUGUCGUCAGCUCGUGUCGUGAGAUGUUGGGUUAAGUCCCGCAACGAGCGCAACCCUCGUUUUUAGUUGCCAUCAUUAAGUUGGGCACUCUAGAGAGACUGCCGGUGACAAGCCGGAGGAAGGUGGGGAUGACGUCAAGUCAGCAUGCCCCUUAUGUCUUGGGCUACACACGUACUACAAUGGGGGGGACAAAGGGCAGCAAGCACGCGAGUGCAAGCGAAUCUCAUCAAACCCUUCCUCAGUUCAGAUUGCAGGCUGCAACUCGCCUGCAUGAAGGAGGAAUCGCUAGUAAUCGUAGGUCAGCAUACUGCGGUGAAUUCGUUCCCGGGCCUUGUACACACCGCCCGUCACACCAUGGGAGCUGGCCACGCCCGAAGUCGUUACCCUAACCGCAAGGAGGGGGAUGCCGAAGGCAGGGCUAGUGACUGGGGUGAAGUCGUAACAAGGUAGCCGUACCGGAAGGUGUGGCUGGAUCACCUCCUUUUAGGGAGACCUCUCUUAAUGAUUGAAGCCAACCCAAAAAAGAGCUUCAACAAAGAGCAUCCCAAGGUCGGAACUGUAAGGGAACUGGUAAAAAUAACUUUCAAACUAAACUUCUGUUCAGACAUGGGCUAUUAGCUCAGGUGGUUAGAGCGCACCCCUGAUAAGGGUGAGGUCCCUGGUUCGAGUCCAGGAUGGCCCAUUUCCCAAACAGGAAAGCCAGACCACGGAAAAAACCUCAGCACCUUAGAUGAGAAAAACAUCAGGAAUGCUGGAGUCAAUCCAGUAAAGCACCUUGAAAACUGCAUAGAUAAGUAGGUAGAAAAAAUUGUUAUCAACAAGAAAGUACAGGUAAAUCCGAGAAAUCUUACUGACAAUCAAUGACGAAAAAAGAAGGUCAAGCUACAAAGGGCUAACGGUGGAUACCUAGGCACACAAGAAA